RNAcentral lists this ribosomal RNA (453 nucleotides) under Caulobacter sp. Its description in RNAcentral is "bacterial SSU rRNA". It matches the Rfam family "Bacterial small subunit ribosomal RNA", at positions 401 to 872 of the family's 1533-position model. Lineage: Bacteria; Pseudomonadati; Pseudomonadota; Alphaproteobacteria; Caulobacterales; Caulobacteraceae. The record is from RNAcentral.
GUGAAUGAUGAAGGUCUUAGGAUUGUAAAAUUCUUUCACCGGGGACGAUAAUGACGGUACCCGGAGAAGAAGCCCCGGCUAACUUCGUGCCAGCAGCCGCGGUAAUACGAAGGGGGCUAGCGUUGCUCGGAAUUACUGGGCGUAAAGGGAGCGUAGGCGGACUGUUUAGUCAGAGGUGAAAGCCCAGGGCUCAACCUUGGAAUUGCCUUUGAUACUGGCAGUCUUGAGUACGGAAGAGGUAUGUGGAACUCCGAGUGUAGAGGUGAAAUUCGUAGAUAUUCGGAAGAACACCAGUGGCGAAGGCGACAUACUGGUCCGUUACUGACGCUGAGGCUCGAAAGCGUGGGGAGCAAACAGGAUUAGAUACCCUGGUAGUCCACGCCGUAAACGAUGAGUGCUAGUUGUCGGCAUGCAUGCAUGUCGGUGACGCAGCUAACGCAUUAAGCACUCCGC